CCCCAUAAUGGAAGUUGAGAUCAAGUGCCCAUUUUGUCAAAGUGGAUUUGUAGAAGAAAUGAGUAGUAGUGCAAGGGAAAAUGAGGAGCCUGAUUCUGAUUUCAAUUCUGAUCGUGCACUCUCCCUUUGGGCCCCAGUCUUGCUUGGAAUGAUGGGAAAUCCUCGUUUACGUAGAAGAUUAAGAAGAAUGGAGUUUGAAGAAGAUGGCGAUGACAGCGAUGAUGGUGAGGCACACCAUGGAGGAGAAAGUGAAUUAGACCGUGAGAUUGAAUCAGUCAUGAGAAGAAGAAGAAGAAGAGAUUCAGCUACAAUGGUACAAUUGCUUCAAGGAAUUCGAG
RNAcentral lists this unclassified non-coding RNA (338 nucleotides) under Hevea brasiliensis (rubber tree). The record is from RNAcentral. Lineage: Eukaryota; Viridiplantae; Streptophyta; Magnoliopsida; Malpighiales; Euphorbiaceae.